Molecule: long non-coding RNA, 1109 nt
Filed under: Vulpes vulpes (red fox)
Lineage: Eukaryota; Metazoa; Chordata; Mammalia; Carnivora; Canidae
Description: lncRNA (ENSVVUG00000000370.1)
Source: RNAcentral
CUUAGCUCUAUUUUCUCCUGAAUAAACAUCCCCAGUCUUUCGAUCAUUGCACAGAUGGUCUUCAGCUUACUCUUUGUCCUGUUUCACUUCCCUUUGUCUUGAAUUCUGGAAAUUUAUCUAUCUGUUACACAGGUGUCAUCAUGGUAGGCCAUACGUCCAUGGAGGUGAAAGCAGGAAAGUGGGAAACUAACUGAAAAUGAAGAUGCUUUCUUUAUGCUUCAUGCCAUUUUGAGUUUAUACUUGUAUUAAAACCCAGAUCAUUCCAAACAAACUGUAACACUUAAACAUUAAUCAAAAUAAUGAACUCAUCUCAACUGGAAUGAAAUAGCCUUCUUUGGCAAAUUGUCACCUAUUCUGAGCACUCUCUUAAAGUGGGCGGAUCUCCAAGGAAACUCAAAGUUUCCUGUGUCUUAUUAAUGGGCAGCAUCAAGAACAUUAUGCCCCCAUCUUUAUUACCAAGGCAUCUAUCUAUAUCAUCUCAUCUCUUCAGAUAAGUCCAUGCCUUGAAUCACCACACUAGCUUGAAGUUGAUUGAAAAUACCAAAGAACUAUUUGGAAUGUUGAGUUAGCCACAUGUCUAUGAGCAUGAAUUUAAACAGUGAUUGCUUUGAGUAACAGUAUCACAUAUGGUUUUGUUCUUCUUCAAUAGGAUGCCCAAUGGUACUUAGGGUCUAAAUUGCCAAAGGAUGUGUAAGUGCCUUAAUGGCAGCAGCUGUGACACCGUGAUUGGCAUCUGUUACUGCCCUCCUGGCUUCACUGGGGCCGACUGCAGUCAAAUUUGUCCCGUGGAUCACUAUGGGCAAGACUGUGUCCAGCAGUGUUCCUGUGGCUCAGGACAGUGUGACCUGGUGACUGGAGGGUGCCAAUGUCCACCUGGCCAAAUGGGAGCCAGGCGUCAGCAAGGUAACAAUGACUGCAGGGUCACCUUGUCCGUCCAGGCACUAACUAAACUACACUGUGAAAGCAGAUUUGGUGCCAGGGAAUAUAAUUAAAUGGGCAUUGUUUAAAACACUUUCUUCUUAAAUGUGGAUUUAAUAACAUGAAAGUACACACUUUCAUAGAGCCAUAUAGGAAAUAGCCUACUGGAGGGUAAACAAGAAUUGAAAACA